UACGUAGGGCGCAAGCGUUAUCCGGAAUUAUUGGGCGUAAAGAGCUCGUAGGCGGUUUGUCGCGUCUGCCGUGAAAGCCCCGAGGCUUAACCUCGGGUCUGCAGUCGAUACGGGGCUAGCUAGAGUGUGGUAGGGGGAGAUCGGAAUUCCUGGUGUAGCGGUGAAAUGCGCAGAUAUCAGGAGGAACACCGGUGGCGAAGGCGGAUCUCUGGGCCAUUACUGACGCUGAGGAGCGAAAGCGUGGGGAGCGAACAGG
RNAcentral lists this ribosomal RNA (256 nucleotides) under uncultured bacterium. RNAcentral describes it as "partial 16S ribosomal RNA". It matches the Rfam family "Bacterial small subunit ribosomal RNA", at positions 524 to 776 of the family's 1533-position model. The record is from RNAcentral.